Molecule: ribosomal RNA, 427 nt
Filed under: uncultured bacterium
Lineage: Bacteria
Description: partial 16S ribosomal RNA
Rfam family: Bacterial small subunit ribosomal RNA
Source: RNAcentral
UGGGGAAUAUUGCACAAUGGGCGCAAGCCUGAUGCAGCCAUGCCGCGUGUAUGAAGAAGGCCUUCGGGUUGUAAAGUACUUUCAGCGGGGAGGAAGGCGAUAAGGUUAAUAACCUUGACGAUUGACGUUACCCGCAGAAGAAGCACCGGCUAACUCCGUGCCAGCAGCCGCGGUAAUACGGAGGGUGAAAGCGUUAAUCGGCAUUACUGGGCGUAAAGCGCACGCAGGCGGUCUGUCAAGUCGGAUGUGAAAUCCCCGGGCUCAACCUGGGAACUGCAUUCGAAACUGGCAGGCUAGAGUCUUGUAGAGGGGGGUAGAAUUCCAGGUGUAGCGGUGAAAUGCGUAGAGAUCUGGAGGAAUACCGGUGGCGAAGGCGGCCCCCUGGACAAAGACUGACGCUCAGGUGCGAAAGCGUGGGGAGCAAACA